RNAcentral lists this ribosomal RNA (492 nucleotides) under uncultured bacterium. Its description in RNAcentral is "partial 16S ribosomal RNA". It matches the Rfam family "Bacterial small subunit ribosomal RNA", at positions 29 to 507 of the family's 1533-position model. The record is from RNAcentral.
AGUGAACGCUGGCGGUAGGCCUAACACAUGCAAGUCGAACGGCAGCACAGUAAUAGCAUGCUCGUACGGGUGGCUAGCGGCGGACGGGUGGGGAAUACGUCGGAAUCUACUUUUUCGUGGGGGAUAACGUAGGGAAACUUACGCUAAUACCGCAUACGACCUACGGGUGAAAGCAGGGGAUCUUCGGACCUUGCGCGAUUGAAUGAGCCGAGGUCGGAUUAGCUAGUUGGCGGGGGAAAGGCCCACCAAGGCGACGCUCCGUAGCUGGUCUGAGAGGAUGAUCAGGCAGACUGGAAGUGAGACACGGCCCAGACUCCUACGGGAGGCAGCAGUGGAGAAUAUUGGACAAUGGGCGCAAGCCUGAUCCAGGCAUACCGCGUGGGUGAAGAAGGACUUAGGGUUGGAAAGCCCUUUUGUUGGGAAAGAAAAGCAGCAGGUUAAUCCCCCGCUGUUCUGACGGUACCCAAAGAAUAAGCACCGGCUAACUUCGUG